Molecule: long non-coding RNA, 705 nt
Organism: Eriocheir sinensis (Chinese mitten crab)
Lineage: Eukaryota; Metazoa; Arthropoda; Malacostraca; Decapoda; Varunidae
Exons: 3
Source: RefSeq, a predicted model, not a curated record
UAACUCAAGCAAGUUUUAUAAAUAUCGAUGUAUUUACAUCUUUUUUCAAGACUAUGUAGUAUCGCUCCAUGAGGAUUCAAGACGCCUGCCUCCUCCGGUAUUGACAUAAGAGUGCAAGCAAGUAUAAAGGCUGUAGUCACUGUCUAGUGGGGUCACUCCCUCCUAAACCUAGAUCAAGAGCAAGACCCAGAUGAUGGCAGCCUUACAAGUUUUUGAGGAGCUUGAUGUCCUCGAGGAUGCUGCAGGGGAAAGGGUCAGACUGCCGAGAAGGAUUGUGAAGGAUCGCUUGGAUUUAUUCCUGACUUUGACUGAAGAGGAAUUUACAUCCAGGUUCAGGAUAUCAAAGCAAAGCGCAAGGGCCUUACUUGCUGACUUACAUUUACCAGAGGCAGCUGAUGCAAGAGGUUAGUGUACAUAAUAUACCAUUGCGCUAUAAUGAUUUAAACAUGUGGUAAUUCUUUAAAUUCUCUAGUCAUGCACCCAGUCCUUUGGAAACUGUUGUCAUGGCUGAUUUUAAUGUUUCAAACAUAACCUUAAUUUUUGGGGGGUGGUGAAUAGCAAAUAAAUACCAUAUCCCCACGUCAUCAAAUACAUUAAUCAAAAUCAUUAGCAGUUGUUGCCCUACAUAUAGAUGAUAUAUUACAAUGGAAUGCAAGAUAUGGGAUUUAUUCUUGGUUAUCCUUAACAAUUUACUCUCCUUCCAUA